Long non-coding RNA from Haliotis rufescens (red abalone), 290 nucleotides. RefSeq lists it as uncharacterized. The record is from RefSeq and is a predicted model, not a curated record. The transcript has 3 exons. Lineage: Eukaryota; Metazoa; Mollusca; Gastropoda; Lepetellida; Haliotidae.
CCGAAUUUGGGUAGCAACAAGUGGACGUUGAACUUCAAGAGAUCACUAUUACACGGAGCAUACACCAUGAAAGGGACUUGGCUGCUUAUUGCUUGCUUCUGUUCUUUAACGUAUGGCGGAUACGAUGAUGGAAAGGUAUCUUUAUUUGAGCGCUUGCUGAAUGAACUGAGUGCAGCCUCUUCGGGUGAAGCCCCGGAGGAAAGGGGGAUGGAUGAGAAGAGAGGGGGUAAUGUUGUGACAGAGCUGCCGACACCGAUACGAGGUACUGAGGCCAAGACUGUCAGGGGGAC